Molecule: ribosomal RNA, 302 nt
Filed under: uncultured bacterium
Lineage: Bacteria
Description: partial 16S ribosomal RNA
Rfam family: Bacterial small subunit ribosomal RNA
Source: RNAcentral
GCAGUAGCCGCGGUAAGACAGAGGAUGCAAGCGUUAUCCGGAAUUAUUGGGCGUAAAGGGCUCGCAGGCGGUUUCUUAAGUCUGAUGUGAAAGCCCCCGGCUCAACCGGGGAGGGUCAUUGGAAACUGGGAAACUUGAGCGCAGAAGAGGAGAGUGGAAUUCCACGUGUAGCGGCGAAAUGCGUAGAGAUGUGGAGGAACACCAGUGGCGAAGGCGACUCUCUGGUCUGUAACUGACGCUGAGGAGCGAAAGCGUGGGGAGCGAACAGGAUUAGAUACCCCGGUAGUCCCUGUCUCUUAUAC